GAUGAACGCUGGCGGCGUGCCUAAUACAUGCAAGUCGAGCGAACAGACGAGGAGCUUGCUCCUCUGACGUUAGCGGCGGACGGGUGAGUAACACGUGGAUAACCUACCUAUAAGACUGGGAUAACUUCGGGAAACCGGAGCUAAUACCGGAUAAUAUAUUGAACCGCAUGGUUCAAUAGUGAAAGACGGUCUUGCUGUCACUUAUAGAUGGAUCCGCGCCGCAUUAGCUAGUUGGUAAGGUAACGGCUUACCAAGGCAACGAUGCGUAGCCGACCUGAGAGGGUGAUCGGCCACACUGUAACUGAGACACGGUCCAGACUCCUACGGGAGGCAGCAGUAGGGAAUCUUCCGCAAUGGGCGAAAGCCUGACGGAGCAACGCCGCGUGAGUGAUGAAGGUCUUCGGAUCGUAAAACUCUGUUAUUAGGGAAGAACAAAUGUGUAAGUAACUAUGCACAUCUUGACGGUACCUAAUCAGAAAGCCACGGCUAACUACGUG
This 497-nucleotide ribosomal RNA is filed under the name uncultured bacterium. RNAcentral describes it as "partial 16S ribosomal RNA". It matches the Rfam family "Bacterial small subunit ribosomal RNA", at positions 28 to 507 of the family's 1533-position model. The record is from RNAcentral.